GACGAACGCUGGCGGCGUGCUUAACACAUGCAAGUCGAACGGUGAAGCGCCUUCCUUUUUGGUGGGUGUGGAUGAGUGGCGAACGGGUGAGUAACACGUGAGUAACCUGCCCCCUUCUUCUGGAUAACCGCAUGAAAGUGUGGCUAAUACGGGAUAUUCUGGGUCUGUCGCAUGAUGGGUCUGGGAAAGAUAUUGUUUCGGUGGGGGAUGGGCUCGCGGCCUAUCAGCUUGUUGGUGGGGUGAUGGCCUACCAAGGCGGUGACGGGUAGCCGGCCUGAGAGGGUGGACGGUCACACUGGGACUGAGACACGGCCAAGACUCCUACGGGAGGCAGCAGUGGGGAAUAGUGCACAAUGGGCGCAAGCCUGAUGCAGCGACGCCGCGUGAGGGAUGGAGGCCUUCGGGUUGUGAACCUCUUUCGCCAGUGAAGCAGGCCUGCCUCGUUUGUGGGUGGGUUGACGGUAGCUGGAUAAGAAGCGCCGGCUAACUACGUG
RNAcentral lists this ribosomal RNA (494 nucleotides) under uncultured bacterium. RNAcentral describes it as "partial 16S ribosomal RNA". It matches the Rfam family "Bacterial small subunit ribosomal RNA", at positions 28 to 507 of the family's 1533-position model. The record is from RNAcentral.